AGAGAGACAUCUGAGCCUCAAAUAUUCCUUCGGUGUGGAUAGUAGCAUCGCAGGUCACCUCUUCUGAUUUCCCAUUUGACAUCCACCAAGUCAUUCCACCUCUCCAGACUUGAAUUUCUUCUCCCUUGAGACAGGGACAAUAAUGCCCUCAUCUCAUAGCAUCCAGUGAGCUCCUCCUUGGACUGUCUCUCCCUCCACCAAGGGAACACCGAACGAGUGAGGACAGGCCGGCUUGCCAGAGUAAGUUGUCCGCUGUUUAUAUUUGGAAAGGGAUAUGCCAUUCCGGAGUAAUUCCAAGCAGCCUCCUUCCUGGCUAAGAUUUCCAAAGGAUCUCGGACAUUGGAGGGAAAUCAGGGGGUGAGUAACCCUCCAGCUGUGCUCUAAUCACACCUUUCAAUACUAAUUAUCCCCUCAUUGAUUCUGAUGACAUUCACUGGCCAAGGCAAUUCCUCUUCAGUGUUUUGCAUCAGUGGUUUAAGACAGUGAUCUAAAGGGACAGAAUCCCCAAGCUGGGCCUUGAUAAGCAGGAAAUGAAAGCUUGUUUGCAAAUACGAUUGGGGAACCCUGAAAGGCAAUUUAAAGUGGUGUUUGCCUUUAGGUAACCAAUCUGAAUACACCAAUGCAUGGAUAAAGAAUGCCAGAAGCCAGGAGAGGGAACUUAUUUUUUUUCCCUUCUCCUGAAAUAGGGUCUCCUGAAAUAG
Molecule: long non-coding RNA, 701 nt
Filed under: Ornithorhynchus anatinus (platypus)
Lineage: Eukaryota; Metazoa; Chordata; Mammalia; Monotremata; Ornithorhynchidae
Description: lncRNA (ENSOANG00000037604.1)
Source: RNAcentral